GAUGAACGCUGGCGGCGUGCUUAACACAUGCAAGUCGAGCGAAGCGCUUAUCAUUGAUUCUUCGGAAGAUUUGAUAUUUGACUGAGCGGCGGACGGGUGAGUAACGCGUGGGUAACCUGCCUCAUACAGGGGAAUAACAGUUAGAAAUGGCUGCUAAUGCCGCAUAAGCGCACAGGACCGCAUGGUCCGGUGUGAAAAACUGAGGUGGUAUGAGAUGGACCCCG
RNAcentral lists this ribosomal RNA (224 nucleotides) under uncultured bacterium. RNAcentral describes it as "partial 16S ribosomal RNA". It matches the Rfam family "Bacterial small subunit ribosomal RNA", at positions 28 to 235 of the family's 1533-position model. The record is from RNAcentral.